UGGGGAAUAUUGGACAAUGGGCGGAAGCCUGAUCCAGCAACGCCGCGUGAGGGAUGACGGCCUUCGGGUUGUAAACCUCUUUCAGUACCGACGAAGCGAAAGUGACGGUAGGUACAGAAGAAGGACCGGCCAACUACGUGCCAGCAGCCGCGGUAAUACGUAGGGUCCGAGCGUUGUCCGGAAUUAUUGGGCGUAAAGGGCUCGUAGGCGGUUUGUCGCGUCGGGAGUGAAAACAGCGGGCUUAACUCGUUGCUUGCUUUCGAUACGGGCAGACUAGAGGUAUGCAGGGGAGAAUGGAAUUCCUGGUGUAGCGGUGAAAUGCGCAGAUAUCAGGAGGAACACCGGUGGCGAAGGCGGUUCUCUGGGCAUUACCUGACGCUGAGGAGCGAAAGUGUGGGGAGCGAACAGGAUUAGAUACCCUGGUAGUCCACACCGUAAACGUUGGGCGCUAGGUGUGGGGUCCUUUCCACGGAUUCCGUGCCGUAGCUAACGCA
RNAcentral lists this ribosomal RNA (494 nucleotides) under uncultured bacterium. RNAcentral describes it as "partial 16S ribosomal RNA". It matches the Rfam family "Bacterial small subunit ribosomal RNA", at positions 355 to 859 of the family's 1533-position model. The record is from RNAcentral.